UCAAGAGAGAAAAGUCAAACUACAGAAUGUGUAUGCGUAUAUAUAUACUGCAUGAGACCCCAAUUGAUAACCAUAGGAUUCAUAACCACAUCCAAUGAAAUAUGUUAACCUUCGUAGAAUAGCUUUCCUAACCUUAGUAGAAUAGCUUUCCUAACCUUUAUUUUUUUUUUUGGGUACAGUAGCAGCCCAUUUUUUCUACUGCAAGACCCUUUCCAUUUAAUUGGUACAGUCGCAGCCCAUCUUUUGUCUUGCAAAACCCUCCCUUUAAACCUCCUCCACUUUCUUUCUGAAUGUUUGUUUUCUCUUAAAAUCCCCUCGCAUUUUUUCCCUUUAAUUCGUACAGUAGCAGCCCUUCUUUUCUACUGCAAAACCCUUUUCAUUUAAUUGGUACAAUAGCAGCCCAUCUUUUGUACUGCAAAACCCUCUCCCUUUAAACGUCCUCCACUUUCUUUCUGAAUGUUUGUUUUCUCUUAAAAUCCCCUCGCAUUUUUUUCCCUUUAAUUCGUUCAGUAGCAGCCCUUCUUUUAUACUGCAGAACCCUGUCCCUUUAAACCUCCUCCACUUUCUGUCCAAUUGUUUGUUUUUUCUGAAAAUCCGCUCGCAUCUUUUGUACUGAAAAAUCCUUUCCCUUUAAACCCCCUCCACUUUCUAUCCGAAUGUUUGCUCUCUCUGAAAAUCCCCUCGCAUCUCUCUCUGUCGACAGAAACCCAAAAAACAGAGACCCAUUAGUUUAGAGAGAGAAGUAUUGGAAACUUUCUCUCUAUCGACAAGAACCCACUAGAAAGAUACCCAUUAGUUUAGAAAGAAAAGUACAUGAAACUCUCUAUAUCAACAAAAACCCAUAAAAAGUUUUAAAGAGAAAAGUGCAAAAAACACAUGCUUAUAAUUAUUCAACAUCUGCACAAAUUAAUCCAAUUAUUUUAUAGUUCAAAAAACAUAAACAUUAUUCUCAAUUCUUUGUCCUCGAAAAUUUCUAAAUUUCAAUAUGCCAAUAAAUUAAAAAACAGAUUUCUCUCUCAUUCUACUUAUAAAAUGGAAAACUUCUAGGGCUAAUCACCCCUUUAUGCUGAAAGAAGCCACAAAAGAAUCAUUGUAAAAAUCACUGUAUAAACACGAUGAGUUCCCCAUAAAAAUUCUUCCAGACGAGAAAACUUGGGAAUUUUAUUCGCUUGUUCUUGUAAUUUCAAAGAUUGAUCCAAAAAAUCACUUCCUCAUCAACUGAAGCCAGCGAUAGGAACUCUAGAUGUAAUCAGAUUUAGUAUAUAGUUACAAUAAAGCUCCUAUAAAGUUUUUGCAAGUGCUCCUCAGCGAGCUUUUGCAACAUAGAAUACCGAAGGGGUUUUUUUUGGAGUUUCUCUCUAAACAAAUGGGUUUGGAUAGAGAUAGAUACGAAGGGAUGUAGAAAAAGAGCAUAUUAAUAGAAAGUAGAGGAGGUUUAGAAGUUAAAGGGUUUUGCAAUCCAGAAGACGAGCUGCAACACUACUAAAAAAAAGUUCGGAAAGCCAAGUGGCCUGGCAUCCCAUAUUUCUUAGG
RNAcentral lists this long non-coding RNA (1533 nucleotides) under Amborella trichopoda. RNAcentral describes it as "long non-coding RNA (ATRI_LNC003510)". Lineage: Eukaryota; Viridiplantae; Streptophyta; Magnoliopsida; Amborellales; Amborellaceae. The record is from RNAcentral.